Molecule: small RNA, 624 nt
Filed under: Pan troglodytes (chimpanzee)
Lineage: Eukaryota; Metazoa; Chordata; Mammalia; Primates; Hominidae
Description: processed transcript
Source: RNAcentral
AGUCGGGGAGGGCCGCGCAGUCGGACCGGCUGCUGAGACGAACGCUUCACUGGGGCAGUCUCCGCAUAUCAUGGGGAGAUAGACGCUGCUGCCUGUAGCUUUUGAAAAUGGCUGCCUCUCAUUUCACCGGGCUCACAGCUGUUGCUGAUGUAAUUAAAGAUCUAGACACUCAGAUAGCUUUAAUUGGCCUUGGUCCUCACAGCUCCAAAAAGAAACAGGAUCUCGAUAAGCUCUAUGAGCUGAAGUCCAAAGCUCGGCAGAUUAUGAACCAGUUUGGCCCCUCAGCCCUAAUCAACCUCUCCAAUUUCUCAUCCAUAAAACCGGAACCAGCCAGCACCCCUCCACAAGGCUCCAUGGCCAAUAGUACUACAGUGGUAAAGAUACCAGGCACUCCUGGGACAGGAGGUCGUCUUAGCCCUGAAAACAAUCAGGUAUUGACCAAGAAGAAAUUACAGGACUUAGUAAGAGAAGUGGAUCCUAAUGAGCAGUUGGAUGAAGAUGUGGAGGAGAUGCUGCUGCAGAUUGCUGAUGAUUUUAUCGAGAGUGUGGUGACAGCAGCCUGUCAGCUUGCGCGGCAUCGCAAGUCCAGCACCCUGGAGGUGAAAGAUGUCCAGCUGCAUUUAG